Molecule: ribosomal RNA, 249 nt
Filed under: uncultured bacterium
Lineage: Bacteria
Description: partial 16S ribosomal RNA
Rfam family: Bacterial small subunit ribosomal RNA
Source: RNAcentral
UACGUAGGGUGCAAGCGUUGUCCGGAAUUAUUGGGCGUAAAGAGCUCGUAGGCGGUCUGUCGCGUCUGCUGUGAAAACCUAGGGCUUAACUCUGGGCGUGCAGUGGGUACGGGCAGACUAGAGUGCGGUAGGGGGAGACUGGAAUUCCUGGUGUAGCGGUGAAAUGCGCAGAUAUCAGGAGGAACGACCCGGUGGCGAAGGCGGGUCUCUGGGCCGUAACUGACGCUGAGGAGCGAAAGCAUGGGGAGC